Molecule: RNA transcript, 1957 nt
Organism: Fragaria vesca subsp. vesca
Lineage: Eukaryota; Viridiplantae; Streptophyta; Magnoliopsida; Rosales; Rosaceae
Exons: 8
Source: RefSeq, a predicted model, not a curated record
GAGAUGCCCUUAAGCGCCAACAUGAUGGAGUACUGUUGUGCGAGUUCCCCUUUACCAACCCCGUCCACACCGACUAAGCUAUUUUGGCCACGCACCGCUUCGACCGAAAGAAUAAUUUGGGGAGAGAUUGAAAGAGGCAACCGGAGAAGAAAGGAGUGAAUCGGCUUUAAUUAGAUGUUGAAUUUCUUAAGUUUUUACUCUCAUGGCAAUUCGCAGAUGGAUUGAUUAUCCUGUUCCAUUGAAUUGAAUUGGAAGAUCAUUCUUUUUACACAGAUCUAUGCUUGCUGCCGAUUAUUGGGAUUUCUCAAGAAUUUGGCUGGGUUGGAUAAUCAAUUUCAAACCUUAACUGAGGUUUUCAAAUCAGUUGUGAGUUGAUUUGAAGCUGAGAAAGAAGGAGAUGGCUAUGGGUAAUGGGUUUUCAGUUCCAUUCACUGUUUUGUUUUGCAAUGUAAUUGGUGAUUACCUUUUCAGGUUUUAGCUCCUUAUUAGUAUUGCUUUUGUUUUGUUUUGGAAGAGUUCAUUUUCUGAAGGCAAUUCUGGGUUAUUGGUCAGCCUGGAGCUCUCCUGCUUUUCUGAACCUAAUUCCAUAACAUACAAUAGUCUCACUGUCUUGGCCUGAACACUGAGUGGAGCUGCUUGAUGUUCAAGGGGGUUUAAUUUAUCACAUUGUGCUGUUCAUCAGACUUACAUGGCUUCAUGAUUUCUCUGAGGAUCUAAGUGAGAAGCUAAGUAAGUACUGACAGUGCGAGAGCUUGAAUAUCUAUGAUAAUUUCGCUCGUCACAUAAUUGGUAACGUGUACAUUCAGUUCAGGGAGGGAAGAACAUGCUGCCACUGCUCCAGAAUCUCACCAGCAUGCCUUAUUGCAGGUUAAUUUCUAAUGCACUAUAGACAUACGAGUAUUACAAGUACAAAUGCAUGUUGAAUCCCUAAUUUAGGAACAUGAUAGAUUGAUGCCUUUACUGGCUGUUACCUCAUUUACUGGGUUUAAUUUUGAACCAUUAGCUGCCCUUUUUUGUUUGUGUAUGAACCAGGCUAUAUAAAAAGGGACCUUUUGUCUUUGUACAUGGUCCUUCCCGUUGAGUAUUUGAGAAUAUUAUAACAUGAGUACUACACCUCAGAUGAGAAGAACUGAAGCAGCUUCUUUGUAUUAUGUUCUCUUAAACCAUUUAUUUUUUUGGUAAAUUGAAUUUUUGUAUCCCUCCUUUCUUUUAGGAAUAUUAUGCUCUUUUCAAGGUUAUCAAGAAAAUUGGAUGUGGGAGAUAAUGAUCUCAUCUAUUCAGUUCUAAUUCCCGGUUUAAUUUUUCAGUUCUCUUAAAAUGUUAGCUUUUGUCAGUAAAAAUGAGGAUGUAUGAUUCUAAAAGAUCAUAUUAUUUCACGUAUAUGAAUGAAUAAUUGAAAAGCCCUUUCGCACGCGCAAAGCCCAUGAAAGGCUAGCGUACAUGGAACAAAGGCAAUUGCUGAAUCUGGAGUUGUUUUCUUACUGUUCAACAUUGGCCUUGAGGUGAGUCUUUCAAUUGAAAUUUCUAUUCCAUGUAAGUUUAUCUUCACUAUGAUGAAAGUUUAUAUGAAUUACAAUGGAAAACUAACAGGACCUUGGUUUGCAUUUUUAGCUUUCUGUUGAAAGGUCGAGUUCCGUAUCUGGAUUAGGCUCUGCUCAGGUUUUGGUUACAGCUGUUGUCAUUGGCUUGGUUGCUCAUUAUGUUUGUGGGCUUCCUGGCCCUGCUGCAAUUGUAAUUGGCAAUGGUCUAGCUUUAUCAUCCACUGCAGUUGUGCUGCAGGUUUUGCAAGAGCCGGGUGAGAGCACGUCAGGCCAUGGUUGUGCAACCUUUUCGGUUAUACUUUUCCAGGUUUUGCAGGCUAUCCUGAAAUUCCAGCAGAUAUUUAGUUCCUUUAUUUUGACAGAUUAAGUUUUUGAAGCACAGAUUCUGUUUAUUCAAUAUAGUAAGGGCGUAUUCC